Molecule: long non-coding RNA, 317 nt
Filed under: Elaeis guineensis (African oil palm)
Lineage: Eukaryota; Viridiplantae; Streptophyta; Magnoliopsida; Arecales; Arecaceae
Description: long non-coding RNA (EGUI_LNC061693)
Source: RNAcentral
CCUAAGUGCUCACUAAGCUCCACCGCCAGCCGACUUUCUACGACUAUCAGCUGUUCCCCGAAUCCCUUCCGGACUUCUUCCAGCCAGGUUCAACUCCAAUCUGAGCUACCACGGACUUCGCCAACGGCUGAACUUCCCCAACGGUAGCUUCCUACAACUACCAGAUUUCAGUCCGGACUCCUACGGGAGCCAGAUCUCAUCUCCAACUCCAACUGCGGGAAGACUCCGCCCGAACUCCUAUGGGAGCCAGGUCUCGUUCCCAAUUCUGGCUGCACAAGGACUUCGCCCGGACUCCUAUGGGAGCCGGGCUCCACCCA